This 254-nucleotide ribosomal RNA is filed under the name uncultured bacterium. Its description in RNAcentral is "partial 16S ribosomal RNA". It matches the Rfam family "Bacterial small subunit ribosomal RNA", at positions 524 to 776 of the family's 1533-position model. The record is from RNAcentral.
UACGUAGGGUGCAAGCGUUAUCCGGAAUUAUUGGGCGUAAAGAGCUCGUAGGCGGUUUGUCGCGUCUGCUGUGAAAACUGGGGGCUCAACCCCCAGCCUGCAGUGGGUACGGGCAGACUAGAGUGCGGUAGGGGAGAUUGGAAUUCCUGGUGUAGCGGUGGAAUGCGCAGAUAUCAGGGAGGAACACCGAUGGCGAAGGCAGAUCUCUGGGCAUUACCUGACGCUGAGGAGCGAAAGCAUGGGGAGCGAACAGG